RNAcentral lists this unclassified non-coding RNA (363 nucleotides) under uncultured bacterium. Its description in RNAcentral is "contains 16S-23S intergenic spacer region". The record is from RNAcentral.
UCCCCGUUACCGAGGCGGUCUACCUAGAAAAAUUCAACUAGGUACAAGGGUUGCGCUCGUUGAUGGACUUAACCAAACAUCUCACGACACGAGCUGACGACGGCCAUGCAUCACCUGUCACAGGGUUCCAAAAGGCACACUCUACUUUCGUAGUGCUUCCCUGGAUGUCAAGCCCUGGUAAGGUUCUUCGUUUAUCAUCGAAUUAAAGAACACGAUCCACCGCUUGUGCGGUCCCCCGUCAAUUCCUUUAUGUUUUAGUCUUGCGACCGUACUCCGCAGGCGGGAUACUUAACGCGUUAGCUUCGCUACUGAAGGGGUCGAUACCUCCAACAGCUAGUAUCCAUCGUUUACGGCGUGGACUAC